CUCGUAGUUGGAUUUCUGGCAGGAGUGACCGGUCACACACUCUGUGUGUGAACUCGCGUUGUCUCUGGCCAUCCUUGGGGAGAUCCUGUUUGGCAUUAAGUUGUCGGGCAGGGGAUACCCAUCGUUUACUGUGAAAAAAUUAGAGUGUUUAAAGCAGGCUUAUGCCGUUGAAUAUAUUAGCAUGGAAUAAUAAGAUAGGACUUCGGAACUAUUUUGUUGGUUUGCGUUACGAAGUAAUGAUUAAUAGGGACAGUUGGGGGUAUUCGUAUUUCGUUGUCAGAGGUGAAAUUCUUGGAUUUCCGAAAGACGAACUACUGCGAAAGCAUUUACCAA
This 333-nucleotide ribosomal RNA is filed under the name Thalassiosira proschkinae. Its description in RNAcentral is "SSU rRNA". It matches the Rfam family "Eukaryotic small subunit ribosomal RNA", at positions 627 to 961 of the family's 1831-position model. The record is from RNAcentral. Lineage: Eukaryota; Bacillariophyta; Thalassiosirophyceae; Thalassiosirales; Thalassiosiraceae.